This 204-nucleotide unclassified non-coding RNA is filed under the name Prunus pullei. Its description in RNAcentral is "partial internal transcibed spacer 1". Lineage: Eukaryota; Viridiplantae; Streptophyta; Magnoliopsida; Rosales; Rosaceae. The record is from RNAcentral.
GAGAACCGGUUUAAAAGCGGGGGGCGAGGGGUCUCGCGGCUCUCCGUCCCCUCACGCCCCGAGAGGGUCGCGUCGCGUCCGCGCGGCCCGCCCUUCUCGGGCGUACGAACGAACACCGGCGCGAGUUGCGCCAAGGAACUUGAACGAGAGAGCGCGCCCCCGUCGCCCCGGAAACGGGGCGCGCGGGCGGCGUCGCCGUCUUCG